CUACGGGUUGCAGCAGGCGCGGAACCUUUACAAUGCACGCAAGUGUGAUAAGGGAACCCUCAGUGCUCAUGUUUUACAUGGGCUUUUGCCAAGCGUAAAUAGCUUGGCGAAUAAGUGGUGGGUAAGACUGGUGCCAGCCGCCGCGGUAACACCAGCGCCACGAGUGGCAACCACGUUUAUUGGGCCUAAAGCGUCCGUAGCCGGCUUGGUAAAUCUCUUGUGAAAUCGUCAGGCUUAACCUGACGGCACGCUCGAGACACUGCCUCGCUUGAGACCGGGAGGAGUGAGAGGUAUUCCUGAGGGAGCGGUAAAAUGUGAUAAUCUCAGGAGGAUCACCUAUGGCGAAGGCAUCUCACCAGAACGGAUCUGACGGUCAGGGACGAAGGCUAGGGGAGCGAUCCGGAUUAGAUACCCCGGUAGUC
Molecule: ribosomal RNA, 422 nt
Filed under: uncultured archaeon
Lineage: Archaea
Description: partial 16S ribosomal RNA
Rfam family: Archaeal small subunit ribosomal RNA
Source: RNAcentral